CGCGUAGGUGGCUUGUCAGGUCCGGUGUGAAAUCCUGGGGCUCAACUCCAGGCGUGCAUCGGAAACCGGCCUGCUAGAGUCUGGGAGAGGAGAGUGGAAUUCCUGGUGUAGCGGUGAAAUGCGUAGAUAUCAGGAGGAACACCGGUAGCGAAGGCGGCUCUCUGGAACAGUACCGACACUGAGGCGCGAAAGCUAGGGGAGCGAACA
This 207-nucleotide ribosomal RNA is filed under the name uncultured bacterium. RNAcentral's name for it is "partial 16S ribosomal RNA". It matches the Rfam family "Bacterial small subunit ribosomal RNA", at positions 568 to 774 of the family's 1533-position model. The record is from RNAcentral.